This 383-nucleotide ribosomal RNA is filed under the name uncultured bacterium. RNAcentral's name for it is "bacterial SSU rRNA". It matches the Rfam family "Bacterial small subunit ribosomal RNA", at positions 28 to 407 of the family's 1533-position model. The record is from RNAcentral.
GACGAACGCUGGCGGCGUGCUUAACACAUGCAAGUCGAGCGGUAAGGCCCUUUCGGGGGUACACGAGCGGCGAACGGGUGAGUAACACGUGGGUGACCUGCCCUCAGCUCUGGGAUAAGCCUGGGAAACCGGGUCUAAUACUGGAUAUGACUCCAUGACGCAUGUUGUGGGGUGGAAAGCCUUGUGCGGCUGAGGAUGGGCCCGCGGCCUAUCAGCUUGUUGGUGGGGGUGAUGGCCUAGCAAGGCGACGACGGGUAGCCGGCCUGAGAGGGCGACCGGCCACACUGGGACUGAGACACGGCCCAGACUCCUACGGGAGGGCAGCAGUGGGGGAAUCUUGCGCAAUGGGCGGAAAGCCUGACGCAGCGACGCCGCCGUGAGGG